Cercophora samala is the source of this 72-nucleotide non-coding RNA. The record is from the annotation of a GenBank genome assembly. Lineage: Eukaryota; Fungi; Ascomycota; Sordariomycetes; Sordariales; Lasiosphaeriaceae.
GGGCGUAUGGUCCAGUGGUAGGACAUCUCACUCGCAAUGAGAGGGUCCCGGGUUCAAACCCCGGUACGUCUA